UGGGGAAUAUUGCACAAUGGGCGAAAGCCUGAUGCAGCGACGCCGCGUGAGGGAUGACGGCCUUCGGGUUGUAAACCUCUUUCAGCAGGGACGAAGCGCAAGUGACGGUACCUGCAGAUGAAGCACCGGCUAACUACGUGCCAGCAGCCGCGGUAAUACGUAGGGUGCAAGCGUUGUCCGGAAUUACUGGGCGUAAAGAGUUCGUAGGCGGUUUGUCGCGUCGUUUGUGAAAACCAGCAGCUCAACUGCUGGCUUGCAGGCGAUACGGGCAGACUUGAGUACUGCAGGGGAGACUGGAAUUCCUGGUGUAGCGGUGAAAUGCGCAGAUAUCAGGAGGAACACCGGUGGCGAAGGCGGGUCUCUGGGCAGUAACUGACGCUGAGGAACGAAAGCGUGGGUAGCGAACAGG
This 409-nucleotide ribosomal RNA is filed under the name bacterium. RNAcentral's name for it is "partial 16S ribosomal RNA". It matches the Rfam family "Bacterial small subunit ribosomal RNA", at positions 355 to 776 of the family's 1533-position model. The record is from RNAcentral.